GACGAACGCUGGCGGCGUGCUUAACACAUGCAAGUCGAACGGAAAGGCCCUGCUCUUGUGGGGUGCUCGAUUGGCGAACGGGUGAGUAACACGUGAGUAACCUGCCCUUGACUUUGGGAUAACUUCAGGAAACUGGGGCUAUAACCGGAUAGAAUCUCCUGCUCCACGUUGGGGGUUGGAAAGUUUCGGCGGUUGGGGAUGGACUCGCGGGUUAUGAGCUUGUUGGUGGGGUAGUGGCUUACCAAGGUUUUGACGGGUAGCCGGCCUGAGAGGGUGACCGGCCACAUUGGGACUGAGAUACGGCCCAGACUCCUACGGGAGGCAGAAGUGGGGAAUAUUGCACAAUGGGCGGAAGCGUGAUGCAGCAACGCCGCGUGCGGGAUGACGGCCUUCGGGUUGUAAACCGCUUUCGCCUGUGACGAAGCGUGAGUGACGGUAAUGGGUAAAGAAGCACCGGCUAACUACGUG
RNAcentral lists this ribosomal RNA (468 nucleotides) under uncultured bacterium. RNAcentral describes it as "partial 16S ribosomal RNA". It matches the Rfam family "Bacterial small subunit ribosomal RNA", at positions 28 to 507 of the family's 1533-position model. The record is from RNAcentral.